UCUGAGAGUUUGAUCCUGGCUCAGGAUCAAAGCUGGCUACCUUGUUAAUACUUGCAAGUCGAGCGGACAGAUGCUACCUUGCUCCCUGAUGUUAGCGGCACAUCGCCGACUUCCACGUGGAUAACCUGCCUGGAAGACUGGGAUAACUCCGGGAAACCGGGGCUAAUACCGGAUGGUUGUCUGAUGAUCAUGGUUUACAAGCGAAGGUGGCUUCGGCUACCACUUUGGAUGGACCCGCGGCGCUGAGAUAGAUGUGGAGGUAUUGGCUUACCUCGCGACUAUGCUGCCCUUAUCUCUGAGGUUGAUCGGCGUGCUGGGACUGAUCACGGCCCAGACUCCUAUUUGAGGUCGCCCACCUUCCUUCCGUUUGGCACGAAAGUCUGACUUAGAAUGGCCGCGUGAAUGAUGAAGGUUUUCAUAUCGGAUUGCUCUGGUGGCAGGAAUUAACCCGUGAUCUUCCGAUACGAGGUGACCUUGACCGUGCAUAACCUGACAGUCUGGGCUAAAUACGUGCCUCCUAUCUCGAGAAUUGUCAGAUGAUGUGCGGAGCUGGGAAGGAUUGUCGCUAUGCUUCUCAUUAGCGCACUCGUACCACCGAUUGUGCGGGCCCCGGUCAUCGUGGAGGUUCAUGGAACGGCGACUGACUGCAGAAGAGAGAGUGAUACACAGCAGCGUGGGAUGCGAGAGAUGUGAGUACACAGUGCGUAGGGACUGUCUGUAGGAAUGACUCGAGUAGCGAAACGGGGGAGCGAACAGGAUUCAUACCAGGUAGACACGCCGUAAGCGAUGAGUGCUAAUGUUAGGGGGUUUGCGUUCAUUAGUGCACAGGAAUUGCACUAAGCUCUUCGGCUGGGGAGUUCGGCAGCAAGCAAUAACUCAAAGGAAUUGAGCGGGGGGCCGCACAAUCGGUGGAGCGAAUGGUCUAAUUCGAAGCAACGCGAAGAACCUUCCCAGGUCUUGACAUCAUCUGACAAUCCUAGAGAUAGGACGCACGUUCGAGGGCAGAGUGUCAGGUUAGGCAUGGUCAAGGUCAGCUCGUGUCGUGAGAUCAUGGGUUAAGUCCUGCCACGAGAGCAAUCCGAUAUGAUAGUCGUCAUCAUUCAGUUGGGCACUCUAAGUCGGCCGCCGGUGCCAAACCGGAGGAAGGUGGGGAUGACGUCAAAUCAUCUUGCCCCUUAUGAUCUGGGCCCACACGCCGAUCAAUGGACAGAACAAAGGGCAGCGAAGUCGCGAGGUUAAGCCAAUCCCACAAAUCUGUUCUCAGUUCGGAUGGCAGUCUGCAACUCGGUAGCGUGAAGCUGGAAUCGCUUGUAAUCCAUGAUCAUCAGACCGCCGUGAAUUAUUCCCCCGCUUUGUACACACCAUCCCACUCACCCCGACAGUUUGUAACACCCGAAGUCGCCGAUGUAACCUUAACAUCCCAAGCAACGAAGGUGGGACAGAUGAUUGGGGUGAAGUCGUAACAAGGUAGCCAUAUCUGAAGGUGCGGCAGGAUCACCUCCUCA
This 1505-nucleotide ribosomal RNA is filed under the name Bacillus sp. B579. RNAcentral's name for it is "16S ribosomal RNA". It matches the Rfam family "Bacterial small subunit ribosomal RNA". Lineage: Bacteria; Bacillati; Bacillota; Bacilli; Caryophanales; Bacillaceae. The record is from RNAcentral.